RNAcentral lists this small RNA (18 nucleotides) under Arabidopsis thaliana (thale cress). Its description in RNAcentral is "ATSL294340". The record is from RNAcentral. Lineage: Eukaryota; Viridiplantae; Streptophyta; Magnoliopsida; Brassicales; Brassicaceae.
UCUUUUGUCUUUCUCUUU